CCACAACCCGCCCUUCCAGGUGCUGGCUCCGCCCACGUCUCCUCCUUCUUUGCCUUCGCCACGCCUCCGUAGGCCCGCCUUCUCCCUGGCCCCGCCUCUGCUCCGUAGUCCUUCGCACAGGCCUGGUCCUUCCCCGCCCCCAACACAGGCCUUGCCCACGUCUGUCCAAUCCUCAGCUUUGUCCUCACCUCCUCCGGGCUGGCCCCUGGGCUGGCCCCAGGUCGCGCCGGCCUUGUCCCGAAUUCCCACCCUCGUUUCUAGAUAGACCUCUAGCCUUCUUAGUUAGUUGUAGUUUCCUGAGGUUAUGUCCGCAGGCCUAUUUAGGACUUGGAGACCUGUUCUGCCCCUUGGAGACCUGUGCAGCAGCCCCGCGGCACAGGCCCCUAGCUUGUCUGGCCCUGCCCCUCCGCUCUGGAGCUCCGCCCCCAUGGCUUAAGUUGUGCUGCCCCUUGAAGCUGUGCCUUUCAGGGAGCCAGCAGUGGGGUCUGGAUGCCCGAGGCCUGGACACUAAAUUUUUGCUGGACUUUGAAAGUUGACAGAGACUCUGAUCCAGAAGGAAGCUUCAGUAUGAGAUUUGCAGCUUCCGAUGACUGUGGGUAGCCUCAAGUGGUUCAGUCUUAUGCCUAAUUGGAGGGGAGGGGAGGGAACCUCAGGUUUUUCCUUCUUGAACUCAGACCUGCCCGGAAAUCCGGGAGGAGCCAGAGGUCAGCUGGCCUUGUUUAACCGCAGCCGAUGCCACAGUGAACAUCUGCCAAGGAGGUGUUCCCCCAUUCCCCCAGCUUCCUCUGCUGUCACAGCCUAAGGAGGCAGGUUUCCAGUGCCCACGCAGUGUGCUCCAGACCCAGGUCAAGAAUGUGCCUCUUGUUCUGUGAGGAUAUUGAAACUUGAGACAUGCACAAGAUCAACGCAGCUUCGGAUGGGGUCAUGUCCUCAUCCAAAGCAAACCAAAUGGGCACCGUUGAUGUCUACUGCCUCUCUUCAUAGCACACAGAGAAUCAGAAAGGUCUCCACAGAGAAGACACAUGGUCCCCCACCUACCUGGUGGAUAAAUGGAGGCUCAGAGAGGUGAAGUCACUUGCCUGGAGCCACACAGCAGCCACCAAAGAUGUCAGAAGACAACACCAUCUGAAGAAAGAGCUGGCUCGGGACAUUUGCACAAGCCCUUCCACCUGGCCUCCAGGGUCAAUGUACACAGCCAAGGUCUCUAGCAAGCGUGCCCUGACAGUCAGCCACCACAGGCUUAUGCCUAGAUGCUGCCGACUUUGGAUACGGUGGGCAUCAGCCAAGAUCCGCCCUUCGUGUUGCUUCUCAUGUGACUUUAAUCUGCCCUCCGGGCAAGGGUGUGGCCAGAAACACAUCCUCCCUUGGACACCACCUCGAGGUCAGGAGAACAUGUCACUGGCACGACCUGCUUCCUUCUGCACAUUCACCACGCCUCAUCUGUGUCACCUCACAGGUCCCCGGCUUCUACCCCGCCUCCGUUCCUCCUUCCCUUCCUUCUCCCCACAAAAGGCGAUGGGCCAGGUUGGCGUACUGAGAUGAGGCGGUGAACCUCAGACAUCCGUCACCGCUGUGCAGGCUGGAGAAAGAGGGAGAUGGUGGACGGGAACAAUGAGUGUCUGGGAUACAGGGGAAGGUCAGACGCAGCGGGUGGCAGAGGACAGAAUGAGACUGUAAGGUGGCAGUGGGCUGUGGACAGUCCUGGAAGGUUAGACGCUGGUUCUGUGGGAACCCUGGAAGGCUAAACACAGUGGGUGGGUGUAGACUACACAGGAAGGAUAGGUGUCCUGGGAAGUCAAGAAGGAGGAAACGCCAUGGGGUGCUGGGGGGAUACCGAGUCUCCCCUUAAAGCCUAUGUUAGAGCUUUUUCUCUCACAUGUUCAGGGGUACUGAGACCUUCUCAAGCUAUGGUCCAGUAGAUGCUGUUCGAUCACUGGGAUGUGCAAUUGAAGGGACAGGGAGUCCCUAUACCCUCCUGGGCUCUCUCCACUCCUAAUAACAUGUGAAGUUUGCUUUUCCUAUGAUCUCUGACCAUGGAUGCUAGCUCCUUCACCCACUACCCUCCAGAAGUGGGUAGAUGCAGGUGCUUGCCCACCCUCAACCUCCAGAGCUAUGAGUUCAUUGGAACCUUUCUCUCUGUCUGCUUGGUUGCCUCUGGCAUUGUGUUGUAGUAACUGCAAAGCUGACUCAGAGGCGGUCCUCAGUAUAGCUGUGGCUCGGGGAGGCUGGUGAUAAAAUGACCAGAAUGGGACUGGAGGUAAGGGAGGCGACUGAUAUCUGGGGGCGGAGGGAGGUGUAGGCUGAGCAGGCCUCACUCCUAGCCCUCACCCAGAUCUCCUAGGCUCACCCAUGUUCUGGCCACAAGACCUGCUUCGGCCAAUGGGGAGUCAGCAAGGAUGUUGCAUGUGCAAGCUUUUUAAACCCUUGGGUAAUAUUAGGCUGGCCUGAGGCUAAUGUCACUAGGAAGCUUGCUUAGGCCUUCAACCAUCACAGCGCCUCAGCUGACUGUGACUGCUGGAGUGAGGGAGGUGGAGUAGGGAGACAGGGCCAGGCUCUGCUCAGUCAGCACCCAUGUGGAAUCCUGUAUUCAGCUUUGGCUGCUGGGGUAGGAGUUCCUGGGCAGUCGUCAUGCAUGGGUGGGUACUCAGCGGCUACAGAUGAAGGCUGGGAGGAGCCUUUCUGGACGUCCAGGGCCAGCAGCCAUAAUCUAGGCAUGGGAGCCUAUGGUGUGAGGAACUCAGAUCAAGACCAGUGGUAGCCAGAGAGGAAGGUCAUGUGCUAUGGCUCCCAUGGUUGCUGAUGACAAGAUGCUGGGGGAACACACUGUUAUUUUUAAGCAGAAUUUAAGGUGAUGCAGAAGAAUCAAAAAGGGCAGACAGACAGAGAGACAGACAGACAGACAGACAGACAAACACACACACACACACACACACAGAGAGAGAGAGAGAGAGAGAGAGAGAGAGAGAGCUUCACACUGGGGUGUGUAUCCAAGAUGUAGUCAUGUGGUCCUUGGAGGAGUCCUUGGUGCAAGUGAAAGGCAAGAUUCUCUGGGUGGCUGCAGGCAUAGGCAGAGUCCCCGUGUCCCCAGGGCUCCGCCAACCCUCAGCCAUGCUCAGGUGGAGGGAGGUCUGCCUGGCAGCCAUAGCUGUCCUGGGUAAACAGUGGACAGUCUGUUUGGAACAGGACCUCAAUGGCAAUGCUAGACCCACAGUCGUCCUCGUGGGGCUCAGCAGGGUUGGAGCAAGGAGACGAGCAUCACCUGGGUGGACCUCUAGCCCUCUCUUGGCUGCAGCUACUGUGUGCCAUCCUUCCCCCACUUCCAUAUUGGAGCACGGGUAGCCUUUGUCUUAUGUCCUGCUCUACACCGUGAGAGGGACCCCAUUCUGGUCUGCUGGGGACUAUGGAAGCUGUGUGUGAUGUCACUUUGCAGCCUGCAGUAGGAGCACAGAGCAGUGUGGAUCACCUCUGUGCCCCCCCCUAAGCUCCCCCUUCCUCCCCCCACCCCUGCUGUUUCCUCUGCUUUGUCUUAUCAGUGACUGCUUGUCAUGGGGGCAAGGUUUGGUGGUGGAGUCCACACUGUUCUGUGCCAGCCAGCUUCCGCCUGGAGUCGGGGCUGAGGAGAAAGCUAUGAAUGCCAGCCAGGGUAGCGGGAUGUGUGUUGAGCAUGAUGUCCGCUUGGGGCCAGAGGAGACAGGCAAGUCUUGCCACUAUCAACAGUGUGGGCAAGCUCUAUGCUCUCCUCCUAGGGACCCAGAAACAUCACGGGGGGAGGUGUCCUGAAAAAUGGAGACUGAGGCUGUGCCGCUUAUCCAUUCCCAGGCAAACCCUGGGCCUAGGUGGACUACCCCUGUUGCCUUUCCCUGCCUCCACGGAGCUGGAGACCAGUGAGUGACCUUGACCUUUUACCCUCAAGGCUGUGCCAACAGUCGGGGAGGCAGACAGUGUCCUGUGUGAAAGUGGCCUGUGACCUUGGGUUCCCUUGCAAACGGAGAGGGCAGCAGUAUGGAUCUCAUUGUGUCUGAUGCCCCACCCCCAGGGUAUUGGGGACCGUCCCUUGAGGCCCAUCCUAGCUCACUCAUCUCUGAUGCUGGAGGUUGAAUGGAUAUGUGUGCCACAACUCGGUCUGCCUGGCCAUGUACCAUGGACAAGUGUGUGUUUUCCUGUGGGCUCUGGAAUCUACCAGCCCCAAUGCCUCAUGGGAACACCACAAGGGACCCAGCCAUGGGCACCUAGCACUACGCUGUCCCCUCGUAUACCCAGGCAGCAUCUAUUCCACUAAAUGUGCCUUUUUGGAGCCUGCCUUUUGUUACCCUAUUGUGUGUGAGGGUGCGUGUGUAUUUGAAGGUCAGAAGACAUGGGAGUUGGCUUUCUCCUUCUGCCUUUUUGUGGGUUCUACACUAAGCGCCUUUACCCACAGAGCCACCAUCUUGCCUGCCCAAUGCCGGGCUUUCAGUUCUCCCCAUACUGGCCACACUUUCCUACGCCCAGGAGCACAGAUUCUGUAAGGCUCUGCAGCAAGCCAAGGAAAGGUAGCAUCCGAAGCAGCCUGAGGGGAGCAGAGGAAGCUCUGAGUGAAAGCAGAGCCCUGUCAACGACCCUAGUCUCAGACCCAGAGGGAGAUGGCAAAGCCUGCUCUCCUGGUCCAUGUGUGGGCGUUGAUAGUGUGUGCAGAAAAUGGACACCGUGGAUGUCUACAGCCUGAAGACGGCUCCCUGUAGAGACUGUGCCUACCCAGAUUAGCAAACCCAGCCUCCUCCAUCCAGCUGCACACGGUAAACCCCGCCCCCUGUUCAGCUGUAUUCAAUAACUCUCUCUGUUCAGCUCUAUACAAUAAACAUGCCGUGCUUCCUGGGUGCUCUGUUUCUCCAUCAGAGAAUGCAGUCCACCUGAGCCAA
Long non-coding RNA from Mus musculus (house mouse), 4895 nucleotides. RefSeq annotates it as predicted gene, 39269. The record is from RefSeq and is marked validated. NCBI's taxonomy places the organism in Eukaryota, Metazoa, Chordata, Mammalia, Rodentia, Muridae. The transcript has 3 exons.